Mycena latifolia is the source of this 97-nucleotide non-coding RNA. NCBI's taxonomy places the organism in Eukaryota, Fungi, Basidiomycota, Agaricomycetes, Agaricales, Mycenaceae. The record is from the annotation of a GenBank genome assembly.
GACUCGGUGGCGGAUGGUCCGCGUCUACACCCUGUGAUCUUGGAGAAGUCUGCGCAUGCAGGUGCAGAAGUCGCCCGUUCGAUCCGGGCCCGAGUCA